This 442-nucleotide long non-coding RNA is filed under the name Mytilus galloprovincialis (Mediterranean mussel). Lineage: Eukaryota; Metazoa; Mollusca; Bivalvia; Mytilida; Mytilidae. The record is from RNAcentral.
AAAAAUCUAAUGGUAGCUUCCUAAUGCAUACCUGAAAAUAAAAUAAUUGAUUUAGUGUUGCGUUUUUUAGUUCAGUCAUUAUAGGUGUUUCCUUUUCCCUAUCCUAUAAAUGAAUCACUUGCCAAACUUAUAAAUAAUUACUAAUAACAAACCAAGGUCUCUUUAUAAUUUACAAUGAAAAAUUGGCUCAUAGUUUAUGUGCAAAACAAGGAAUGAAAUCAUGCAAACUAUUUUUGAAUCAUAGUUUUUAACAUCUGCAAAGAACGAUAAGAUGAAAAUGUAUUACCAAGUCACUGUGACACAUAAAUAUGAUUCAGAGAUAGAAGGGAUUUAUUUUCGGACAAGCCCACAUUUACAACUUAUAUUGAGAACAUUGAUGAGUAUUGAUUGGUUGAUUGGUUGUUGCCCAGUGGCAAAAUAUUUAAUGUCUACCCAUGACGAC